Non-coding RNA from Pelobates cultripes (western spadefoot toad), 587 nucleotides. The record is from the annotation of a GenBank genome assembly. NCBI's taxonomy places the organism in Eukaryota, Metazoa, Chordata, Amphibia, Anura, Pelobatidae.
UCUGGGUCUGCAAAACGUUGCAUUGCUACAAUAGGGUACAAUAAAAUACAAAAACAAUAUUAAUAUACAAUAUAUCCAAAAUUUAACAUAGAACAGGUAGGAAAUAUAUAAUCAACCAUGACGUGCAUUCUGUUUUGAGGUAUGUAAAGAGGGAUAAAGGACUUUAGGCCUGGGGGAAGAUUUGAAAGUGUGCAGGAGGUCGUUCCAUAAUUGCGGUGCUCUAUAGGAAAAAGGAGGAUCGGGCUACUUUCUUUUUGUAUUGAGGUAGACUAAAUAAAGUGCUGGUACUGGAUCGGAGGUUAUAGGAGGUGUGAACAGCCGGGGAGAGCAUUCUGCUCAGGUAGGGUGGGAGCUUCCCAUAAAAGUUCUUAGGGAUUUUAAAUCUAAGAAUGUGCAUGUUGUUUAUGUACAAGAAACCCACUUUAGAAAAACAACUGCCCUGAAACUGACCAAUCAUAUUUACCAACAGGGUUUUAAUAGGAACAAUACUGAGUAAAUUUCAUGGGACAGCAAUCCUUAUUGACAAAUCAAUCCUAUUCUAACACAAAGAAACACUAGUAGACAAGGAAGGUCGUUAUAUUUGUAAG